UAGGGAAUCUUCCGCAAUGGACGAAAGUCUGACGGAGCAACGCCGCGUGAGUGAUGAAGGUUUUCGGAUCGUAAAACUCUGUUGUUAGGGAAGAACAAGUUGGGUAGUAACUGACCCAACCUUGACGGUACCUAACCAGAAAGCCACGGCUAACUACGUGCCAGCAGCCGCGAUAAUACGUAGGAGGCAAGCGUUGUCCGGAAUUAUUGGGCGUAAAGCGCUCGCAGGCGGUCUUUUAAGUCUGAUGUGAAAGCCCACGGCUUAACCGUGGAGGGUCAUUGGAAACUGGAGGACUUGAGUACAGAAGAGGAGAGUGGAAUUCCACGUGUAGCGGUGAAAUGCGUAGAGAUGUGGAGGAACACCAGUGGCGAAGGCGACUCUCUGGUCUGUAACUGACGCUGAGGAGCGAAAGCGUGGGUAGCGAACAGG
RNAcentral lists this ribosomal RNA (429 nucleotides) under Bacillota bacterium. Its description in RNAcentral is "Firmicutes bacterium partial 16S ribosomal RNA". It matches the Rfam family "Bacterial small subunit ribosomal RNA", at positions 355 to 776 of the family's 1533-position model. Lineage: Bacteria; Bacillati; Bacillota. The record is from RNAcentral.